CCCAGGACUGCCUUCCCCUCAUGGGUAAGGUCCCUGAUGUUGUCUUUACCUUUGUGGAAAUCACCACAGGUUUGGAGUGAGCCGUAGAUCCCCAGCCUCCAUUGACAGGCAGAACACCCAGUCAGAUAUUGGUGGCAGCGGAAAAUCCACGCCUAGUUGGCAAAGAAGUGAGGAUAGCAUUGCUGACCAGAUGGAGCCAACAUGCCAUCUCCCAGCAGUAUCAAAGGUACUGCCAGCUUUCCGAGAGAGCCCCAGUGGGAGAUUAAUGCGGCAGGAUCCAGUGGUUCAUUUGUCUCCAAACAAACAAGGGCAUUCUGAUAGCCACUACUCGAGCCACUCCAGUAGCAAUACUCUCUCCAGCAAUGCGUCGAGUGCCCAUAGUGAUGAGAAGUGGUACGAUGGGGACCGCACAGAAUCCGAACUCAACAGCUAUAACUAUCUGCAAGGCACCUCUGCUGACAGUGGCAUUGACACCACCUCUUAUGGCCCCAGCCACGGCAGCACAGCCUCGCUGGGGGCUGCCACAUCGUCACCUCGCUCAGGGCCAGGCAAGGAGAAAGUGGCACCCCUAUGGCAUAGCUCCAGUGAAGUCAUCUCCAUGGCAGAUCGGACUUUGGAGACAGAGAGCCACGGCCUGGACCGGAAAACAGAGUCUUCCCUGAGCUUAGACAUACACAGCAAGAGCCAAGCCGGCUCGAGCCCUCUGACAAGGGAGAACAGCACCUUCAGUAUAAACGAUGCUGCUUCCCACACAAGUACCAUGAGCUCCCGACACUCUGCCAGCCCAGUGGUUUUCACCAGUGCCCGAAGUUCACCUAAAGAAGAGCUUCAUCCGGCUGCCCCCUCACAGCUCGCACCAUCCUUCUCCUCCUCUUCCUCCUCCUCCUCUGGUCCUAGGAGUUUUUACCCUCGCCAGGGUGCUACUAGCAAGUACCUGAUUGGAUGGAAAAAACCCGAAGGAACCAUAAACUCCGUGGGAUUUAUGGACACGAGAAAGCGUCAUCAGAGCGAUGGCAAUGAAAUAGCCCACACCAGGCUGCGUGCCUCAACCAGAGACCUCCGGGCAUCUCCUAAGCCAACCUCCAAGUCCACCAUUGAAGAAGAUCUAAAGAAACUAAUUGAUCUUGAAAGCCCAACUCCUGAAUCACAGAAGAGUUUUAAGUUCCACGCACUCUCCUCUCCUCAGUCUCCUUUCCCCAGCACCCCCACCUCACGGCGGGCCUUGCACAGAACACUGUCGGACGAGAGCAUUUACAGUAGCCAGAGGGAGCACUUUUUCACCUCCAGGGCGUCACUUCUGGACCAAGCCCUGCCCAACGACGUCCUCUUCAGUAGCACGUACCCUUCUCUCCCCAAGUCGCUCCCGUUGAGGAGGCCUUCUUACACCUUAGGAAUGAAAUCGCUGCAUGGAGAGUUCUCGGCCUCGGACAGCUCCCUCACUGACAUCCAGGAGACCCGCAGGCAGCCUAUGCCUGACCCUGGCCUGAUGCCCCUGCCUGACACUGCUGCAGACUUGGAUUGGUCCAACCUGGUAGAUGCUGCCAAAGCCUACGAGGUCCAGAGAGCCUCGUUUUUUGCUGCUAGUGAUGAAAACCAUCGCCCCUUGAGUGCUGCAUCCAACAGUGAUCAGCUAGAGGACCAGGCUCUGGCCCAGAUGAAGCCUUACAGCAGCAGUAAAGACUCCUCUCCCACUCUGGCUUCUAAAGUGGACCAGCUGGAAGGUAUGCUGAAGAUGCUUCGGGAAGAUUUGAAGAAGGAAAAAGAAGACAAAGCCCACCUUCAGGCAGAGGUACAGCACCUGCGAGAGGACAACCUGAGGCUACAGGAGGAGUCCCAGAACGCUUCGGACAAGCUGAAGAAGUUCACGGAAUGGGUCUUCAACACCAUAGACAUGAGCUAGGGAAGGCUGAGGAGGACAGGAGAAGGGCCCGGACACUCCCUCCAGCGAGUGUCCUGCACCCCUUAUUUCCUCCGUAGAAAGCAUCCUCAGAGCACCUUCCCCGGCUUCCUACUCUGCCCCCUUUUGGGGAGUGCACAACACAAUAGUUGCAGAUCAACAAUCAUCACCUGCCUUUUGUAGAAAAGAAAAACAAAAAAAGUAAAUAA
Molecule: small RNA, 2106 nt
Filed under: Pongo abelii (Sumatran orangutan)
Lineage: Eukaryota; Metazoa; Chordata; Mammalia; Primates; Hominidae
Description: processed transcript
Source: RNAcentral